RNAcentral lists this long non-coding RNA (449 nucleotides) under Mytilus galloprovincialis (Mediterranean mussel). The record is from RNAcentral. Lineage: Eukaryota; Metazoa; Mollusca; Bivalvia; Mytilida; Mytilidae.
UGCGCAUAUAUUACACCAUGAAGUUUAAAUAAAAAACAUAGUCAUCAUUGUAAUACAACAUUAACAUGUUACAACAUUAUACUUAAGAAUUGAAUGCUUCUUUCUGUAAAUUCAUUGGGGUGUAAAAGCGUUGACCGAAGUACAUUUUGUAUGAAGCGCGGAAGCGCUUCAUUCUAAAAAUGUGCGCACGGUCAACGCUUUUACAACCCUAUGAAGUUACAAAAGAAGCAUUCAAUACUUAUAAUUACAUUUUUUAGCUAUGAUCAAGAAAACACGAAUUUUAUAUUGUUUUUAUUUAAUUCACCUGUGCACUUUAUUGUGGGACCACGUGUUAUCAUGAAUGAAAAGUUUUAUUGAGUGAUGCAAUUGCUUACGGAAUAACACGUGAAGUGCAGUUAGCCAAUCAAAAUAAAAGUAUUAUAAUGAAACAUACAUCUAAUGUAAUUAUU